UCUGACUAGAAUUCGUGUUUAAGUUCCAAAAUUUCAAAAAAAUAAAAUAAAAAAUAAAAAAAUUUCAAAAAAAAUUACAUCUUAGACCCCUAAACUUUCCUUAAAUUACAUUUUAACCCUAAAUUUUCUAAAAAUUACAUUUAGCCCCAGAAUUUUUGCUGUAUUUGUGAUUUGGUCCUUCAGACAGAUUACGUGAUUUGGGGCACCCACUUCCCAGAUUUUCAGGCCAAAAACAUGGGUGGUUGUUCCUUCUUCACCCACUACCUGCAAAUGGCAUAAAAAACAAGCAAAAUGGUAGAAAUGAAAAAGGAACACAAAAAAAAAAGAGAAUUCUCCCAUUUGAAAAAAAAAGAGCAAAAAAUUCCAGCAAAAAAAAUCCAAAAAAAAAACAUUAGCAAUCAAGAGAAAAAACGCAGAAAGGUGGAUCUUCGAUUUCAUUUUAUUUGUUUUCAUUUCGUUUUAACUACUUCUUAGUUUCCUUUCAAAUUUACUGCAAAUCAAUAAACAAAAAGGGGGUUUUGUUUUCAAAUACAAAAAAGGGGUUGUAUUACACAGAUUAUUAAUAAAAAGAGAACAAAAAAGGUUGUUUUCAUAUUUUCUUUCCUUGGUUUUUUUUCUUUCUUUAGAUUUUUUUUAUUUUAUUUUCUGUGUUAAAUCUUUUAAAAAAAUAAAAAUAAAAAACAAAAGAGGGGCUGAAAACUUACCUAUUCUUCGCGUCCCGCCCCCAUCGGAGAUUCCCCGAUCCAAAAGGGCCACGAAACCCCUCAGGUUUCUCGUUUAGGCCAUGGAAAAUAAGAGGGGGACGAGUACUCGGAGGGCAAAAUAGGAGCUUUCUCACUUGAACUUGGUGAGAGAGAGGUUUGUUUGAGAGAAGUGAAAAUGAAAAGGGGGAAGGAAAGAGUUUUUAGUUUUUUUUUCUCUUGAAAAAGGGACCAGCAGAAUAGAAAAGUAGGAAACUUUUUUAAAAUCAUUUGAAAAGGUACCGUGAGUGUAGUGGGGGGUUGUGAAUUCUCCCUAAAAGGGAUAUUUGUGCGUUUAGUCCUUUCCAUUCGAAACUCCAUUCAAUCGGCCCCUAUUUCCAAUUUUUUUUUGUUUUUUUUAAUUCUAACCCUCAAAUUUCGUUUGGUUUUUUAUUAGGUCCCUGAUGAACUUUCUAGUAUUUAUAAUUUUGUACCCCAAUUUUUAACUCGUUUUCAACCAUGUCCUAAAUCUAUUUAAUCCAUUUAUUAACUUUUUAAAAAAAUAAUAUUUCACCUAUGUGUUAUUUAAAAUAUUUUAUAUGUUAUUUACUUUACAUCUAUUCCAACUUAUUUUAAUGUAUUGUUUGUUUAAAUUCUUAUUAUUUAUUUUAACUUGCUUUAUGCAUAUAUUUUAUAUUGGUCUAUUUUAUAUAUAUUAUUUAUUCCUUACCUACUAUAUAUAUGUGUACAUAUAUUCUAUUUUUAAAUUGUUUUGUACAUUGUUGAUUAAAUUUCUUUUCUCAUUAUUUAUUUUAAAUUCAUUUAUUAAUUAUUUUGAAAUUUGUUUUACGUUUUAGUCAUUUUAGUUUGCGUUAUAAUAUUUUUAAUUCACUUGUCUUUGAUUAUUAAUGAUUAGUAUUCAAGUUACAUAUGUUAUGUGAUUAUUGCCAUUGUGUAUGGUAUAAUUAGUUUAUUCGUAUUUUCGUUAUUGCCAUUUGCUUGUAUAAUAUUGUAUUUGUGUUGUUAUUACGUACUCUAUGUUAUAUUUUUGUUUUAUCUAGUUUAAAUCAUAUGAUACAUUAACCCAACAUACUUGCCCGACUUGGAUCGCUUGAUUUUUUUUAUUCCAAACAAAUAAUGUACGUCGUUCAAAUGCCAUAUUCGCUACUACUCAAAAACGAAAUUUUCCAAAUAAGGCAAUGUUAUGCAUUUUGAGAUAUCAAGGAAUUGUGCCCUAACUUACGGGGUUUCGAUUUUCUCGUUAUUUCUAAAUAGCUAAAUAUCCUUUUCGAGUUUUAAAACACACGAAACUCAAUUUAAAUUAAAAGACAACCUUGUGCUCGGGAAUUCAUGGUAUUGUGUCCUAACUUACGGGAUGUGAUACUCCGAUAUCUCGAGAUAAGGAAAUCUUUAAACAAAUCGAUUUAAGUUAAUUCAAGAAUUUUAAAAUCGGUAUUAAUAGAAAAGAUCGUAUUUCAAGUCCCUUCCCGAUUUUUAAUUUUCCACAUUAAGACACUAACUAAUCAAUUCGGUACCAAUUUUUUGGGCAUGUCGAGGGUGCUAAUCCUUCCUCGCACGUAACCGACUCCCGAACUUAUUCUCUCAAGUUUCAUAGACCAGAGGCCCUGUUUUAGUAAACUAAAAUUGAUUUAUUAAAACAAAGGUGAUCCGAUCACACCUAAUAAAAGAUUGGUGGCGACUCCCGUUUUAAUUUUCACUUUCAAACAAAGUCGAUCCCCGUUUUCAAAAGAAUGGUUUCGACAGCUUAGCGACUCCACUGGGGACCUUGAGAGUCGAGCCUUAAAUUGAUUAUUUUUUGUCUUUUGUCAAAAAUCGAAAAUCGGUUUUAAAUUUACUGCAUUGCAUGUUGUCUGUUAUUUUCGCGACUCUCUUCAUAAUAUGCUUGCUUUAAGUGGUUUAAUUCUUUGAUGGAUCUUUGCAUAUCGCAUCAUUGGUCAAUUUCACCCUCUUAAGUGGAAGUGAAAAACUACUCCUUCGUGAGGUCUUCACCUCCGUAUAGGAUAGUGGAUCGCUUUCGAGAUACAUCCGUACCUGCGUCUUCGUGAGGUUUUCACCUCCGUAUAGCCGUAGGGAAAUGUAUUCCCCUGAAUCGAACUCGGUCUGUAUGAACCUAUAAUGGGUGAGGAUCGAGGAAUCUGCUGGUUCAGGUACCUUUACUUUAGAACCAAACUACAUGUAAUGAGCCAUAGGAGCCUACCCUAGGUAGAACCAUACCGAACCCUAGUGGUUACCUGAUUAGGUGCUUAUUUACUCCUUAUUUGUUUUGAAUUCUAUUCUUUGUAUAUAAUACUGACUUGUUGUAUUUUGAUUAUUUUCACAUGACAUUUCAUCAUAAAAGGGUGUUGAUUUACGUUCGGUUACUAAUUAGAAGAGUUUAGCAUGGAAAAAGGAUUUCUUGAUAGAGUGGAGGAUAAUGCGGCCGUCCGAGUGUGGUCUGAGAGAAUGCAACAGGAGAAAGGAGAUAGUUUGACCGAGGGAUAUGAAUCAGAGUUAUGGGAUUUCACUCGUAUCAGUGUGACUCAGAACGACCUACAAGAGUUAAAAGAUAUAUGGAAUAGUUGGAAUGGCGAAGUCAAACAACUCUUUUACUGUAACUACGGUGACUUACCCUAUUUGCUCGAUGUAAAAGUGGACAAGUACUUGUUUCGGGCCCUCGCGCAAUUUUGGAACCCCGCUUACAGUUGCUUCACUUUCGGAGGAGUUGAUUUAGUACCUGCGGUGGAGGAAUAUAUGGCGUUACUUAAUUGCUCGAAGAUUCAGGCUGAUAGGGCUUAUUCAAGACUUGUCAACGUCCCUCCCUUUUUGAAGAAGUUGAUGAAUAUCACAGGGAUGAGCGAACAAUGGGUUAAGGCUCGCAUCAAGCAAAAAGGGGAUAGUAAAUGUAUUCAUUGGAGGAAUUUGAGGGACUUGAUCCUUGCACACCUAGAUUCAAAGAAAAAGGUUGAUGUUUUUACCUUAAGCAUCUACGGUUUGAUUGUCUUUCCUAAAGCACUUGGACACAUAGAUGAAGCCGUCUCAAAUUUAUUCAAUCGACUUGAUAAAGGUACCACACCCGUCCCGGCAAUCCUAGCAGAAACUUUUCGAUCCUUGAAUGCAUGCCGUAGAGCGGGCGAAGGAAGAUUUAUUGGUUGCGCACAGCUUCUUUUAGCUUGGUUUCAUAGUCAUUUUUGGAAGGUGGAGAAGGUCUCCUAUCGGGUAUUCUCUAAGGAUUAUUUCCCAUUAAGAGAAUUAGUGGUCACAUCGAGGCAGGACGACAUCUCCGAAGAGAGGUGGAUAACUAUUCUCCAAAAUUUACGAGCCGAAGACGUUGAAUGGAGGGCUCCAUGGUUGAUUCCUGAUGAGAUCUUAUAUAGGUGCGGUGAUUUUGACUGGGUCCCUCUGGCUGGAAUAUGGGGAGCCGUUGGAUACGCUCCACUGAUGGUGUUAAGGCAGUAUCGAUCAAGGCAGUUUAUAUCGGUGACACAAGUGUUGGCACAAUGUGAGAUCCCCUAUAAAGACAACAAUUAUAAGAAGAGGGUUCGCGAGAUAACAGAUGCAUAGAACCAAACUCGAAGAAUAAAAGGAUUCACCGCAGGCCUGAUGACGACCCCUGAGUAUGAAUGGUGGUGGGGUAGGAGAGUCAACGACAACAUCCCUAGGCAGAAUUAAGGGAACACUCAACCGAUAGAGGAGCAUUUACGGGUCAUCCCAUCCGUGUUAGAGAUCAUUAAGUAAGAUUUUGAGAAAAGAAACUCGGAGUUGGGGAAGAAGAUAGAGCAGCUAGAAGAAGAUAAAAUAAAGUUGGGGUUAGACGUCGAUAUCUACAAGCUAGAGGCCGAGAAGUUAAGGAAAGGAAAGAAUAAGGCCGAGGAAGAUUUAGAUAGUCUGAAAACUGAUUACAAGAAGCUUCGUAUAACGAUAAAAACUGCCGGAUUAGGUAAAACGUCAGAACAAUGGCGUCAAGAGAUUAAAGAGGAAAAGACUAGAGCCGACCAUUGGGAGAAAGGGUUUCAAGAUGCCCGAGUACGAGAGGACACUCUGAAGAAGAGUUUGUUAGAAACCCAAAACGAUAAGGAGAAUUUACGAGCUCGGGUGGCUGAAUUGGAAAGAUUACUUCAGCAACAUCGUAGCCAUAAUUCGAUAAUUAAAUUGAAGGCUAGUCUGAGCAGGAUCGAAGAGUUGAAAGGGAAAAUAGAAGAACUCGAGACCGCACUGCGAGAUAGCAAAAGUCGAGUGGAACUUCUUGAGACAAACAACGACCAUUACAGAGAACAGCUUCACCACUCUCAAAAUCAGAUUAGAGAUAGCAAAAGUCAUGUGCGAAGCUAUAGCUCAGGUUCGGGAGGUAGCUGAUCACUUGCAAACCUUGGCAGUUUAGGCUGAUAUAUUGAGUUUGAAGUAUGAGUCAGAAUCAAACUGAGGCUGAAGCUUAGAUUGGCUUCUUAAGAAAGUUAAGACUUUGGGCAUUAGGGCGAAGUCGUAUAUGUAAUCAUCCGUUUUAUGUAAAGAAAAUUUUCUUCUAGUAAAGUUCUUCUAAUGAAAUUGAAUUGAAAUCAACGCCUCUUUUUGCAUUCAUUCAUUGCAUGUACAUGUCCCAUAAUUAUUUGCUAAGGUUAAAACAUAAAAUUUGCAGUUGUAAUACCACAAGACUGGAACCACGUCAUUCGUAUAGAACACGCCGACAAGCUAGAGUAAUGGAGGCCGAAUUCAACGAAAGGAUUGAGAGGAUGGAAAGAAUUCAAAUGGAAUUACAAGAGUAACUGGCCAAAUCGCAGCAAAAGACAAGAGACUUAAUAGUGAGAUCCCGAGAAGAAUCCUUCGAAAAAAAGGAUCAAAUGGCCAAGAUAAUGGAAAUGAUGUCAGCUUUAGUUAAGGGAAAGGGACCUAUGAACCCUGACGUUGUGAACCACAGUUAAGGGGUAAUCUCGAUCAAGAUCCGCCCCAUCUGCCAGGAUUUACUCCAUCGCACACCCAAGCAACACAAAGAGGAUACACUCAAUGGGAACUUACAGGCCCGGAGCAACGACUUGCACCACCUGUUAACUUGGGACAAGGAAUGUUCAUGACGAACCUAGGGGCUAGUCCUGCUGAUCCAUUAGUUCCAGAUUUGGACGACCCAGCAGAGAUAGCUAGGCUGAAAUUAGAUAAUCAUGAUGCAAAUGAGAAGUAUAGGAGUCUAGAGGAAAGACUCAAAGUGAUAGAAGGCACUAAAGUCUUCUCUGCACUAGGUGCCAAAGAACUCAGUUUGGUUCUCGAUCUAAUUUUGCCUCCGAAGUUCAAGGUGCCUGAUUUUGAAAAGUAUGAAGGGACAAGGUGCCCAAAAGCACAUCUCAUCAUGUCCUGCCAGAAGAUGACCGGCUAUGUGAACGAAGAUAAGCUACUCAUACAUUGUUUUCAAGAUAGUCUAGCAGGAUCGGCUCUUCGGUGGUAUAACUAGCUUAGUAGGGAAAAGAUCCGAUCCUGGAAGGACUUGGCAUCAGCGUUCUGUAAGCAGUACAAGCAUGUAUCGGAUAUGGUGCCAGACCGGAUGACCUUGCAAAUGAUGGAGAAAAAGCCGUUAGAGACCUUUAGAUAAUAUGCGCAGAGAUGGAGGGACGUCUCGGCCCAAGUGGAACCCCCACUAACAAAAACGGAGAUCACCGUUCUCUUUAUCAACACCUUAAAAGUGCCAUUUUAUGACAAACUAGUGGGAAGUGCCACGAAGGAUUUUACGGAUAUUGUAAUAUCCGGUGAGCUCAUAGAGAAUGCCGUCAAGAGUGGUAGAAUAGAAGGUUCAGAAUGUUCAAAAAGGGUAGCGCCUAUGAAGAAGAAAGAACCAGAAGCCCACAUGGUGGGAAUGGGAAGCCGUUAUACCCCUAAUCCAUAUCCAAACCAACCCCGACCUCGAAAUUAUCCACCUCCAAAUUUCUAUUAUCCCCCUCAAACCCCUUACUACCAAGCACCCCCUCCUUCCUACCCCGUAUACGCCACGAACAACCAAAGACCCGUCACCACAUUCCCAUAAAACAUGGUAUUUACUCAAAGCCAGCCCGAAAAUGAACCAAGACUAGCAAGGCCUAAUCCCGAGAGACCGCAAUUUACUCACAUCCCUGUGUCGUAUGGGGAAUUAUACACAAAAAUUUUAGAGAAAUAGUUGAUUUCUCCCCACUACAUGGCACCCCUUAAACCUCCAUACCCAAAGUGGUACGAUUCAAACGCUAGCUGUGUAUACCACGCCGGGAACCAGAGGCAUUCCACGGAGAAUUGCCUAGCCUUUAAGAGGAGAGUUCAAUGGCUCAUUGACGCAGGUAUCCUACGAUUCGAUAGUGCCAGUAACGCAACUGGGAACCCAUUCCCUAACCAUACCGAAGGAAAUGUGAGCACAGUGGAGAAAGAGGACGAAUGGAAAGUUAGAAGAUAUGUUUCGAAAAUAAGGACGCCUCUGCAGAAAAUCUGGGAGGUACUGGUUAAGAAAGGAUUGCUUUGUCACCCCGAUAGAAUUCUCGGAGAAGAAGGUCAAGGUUUUUGCAAUUUUCAUGGAAUUGUAGGAAACGAUAUUCAGUCGUGUGAGGAAUUUAAAAGGUUGCUUCAAGACCGGAUGGAUAAUAAGGAGAUUAAGGUCCUUAAUAAGAGAGAAGAGGCCAACGAAAAAGAAAUAUGCGCCUCUGACAGCCAGUCAUCAGUCCCCCUUAUAGCGCGGAUCGACCGUUGGUAAUUUAUUAUGACGCAACAAAAGAGCCGAUGAAACCAAAAAUGAUAAUCGAAGUACCAUCUCCUUUCCCGUACAAGGACGACAAAGUCGUACCAUGGAAAUACGACGUCAAUAUCGUCACACCUGAAGAUGAAAAACCCAAAACCAUGACUGAAAGUGUUAGGGAGGUAGGUCAUUUCACUCGUAGUGGAAGAUGUUAUUCGAAAGAGGUCGAACCGGUGAAAAAGAACAGUGACUGAAAGCAAAUAGGGAAAGCAGUGAUGCAUGAGGCCGAAGUCGAGCAAGAAAUUCCAUCGGUGUAGGAAACUAAAAUGCCUGGGGAUGAGGAGGAAGCACAGGAGUUCUUGAAAUUUAUCAAACACAGUGAAUACAAUGUGGUGGAACAAUUAAAUAAGCAACUAGCACGAAUCUCGGUUUUAUCUCUGCUGUUAAAUUCGGAGCCACACCGGAACGCUUUCCUGAAGGUGUUGAAUCAAGAUUACGUGGCAAAUAAUAUAUCCGUUGAGAAGCUUGACAAAUGGGUGAAUAAUCUAAACGCGGAUAAUUUCAUUUCUUUUAGUGAUGAUGAAAUACCACCUAACAGUAGAGGCUCAGUGAAAGCACUGCAUAUUACGACUCGCUGCAAGGGCUACAUAAUACCGAACGUGCUCAUCGAUAAUGGGUCGGCACUCAAUGUUAUGCCUUUGGCCACGCUUUCUAGAAUUCCGAUGGAUCUAUCCCAUUUAAGGCAUUGUCAUUCUACGGUAAAGGCAUUCGACGGGACAAGGCGUGAAGUCAUAAGAAAGAUUGAGAUCCCUCUAGAAGUGGGUCCCUACAUAUAUGAUGUCGAGUUCCAAGUCAUGGACAUUACACCCUUAUAUAACUGCCUUUUGGAAAGACCCUGGAUCCAUUUUGCUAGAGCGGUCCCAUCAUCCCUCAUCAAAAGGUGAAAUUUAUCAUGGAUGGUUGUUUGGUCACUGUUGAAGGAGAAGAAGACAUUGUCGCAUCUAUCUCUACUGAUGCGCCAUACCUUGAAGUGAGCAAGGACGCAGUGGAAUGCUCCUUCCGAUCCCUUGAAUUCGUCAAUGCCACAUUCGUCACUGAGGGAAACAAAAUUCCCGUGCCUAAAUUGUCGAGAAAUACUAGAAUGGGUGUCAAGUUGACUGUAGGAAGGGGAGCUCGAGCGAGAAGAGGUUUAAGGAGAUAUCUGCAAGGAAUAGUUAGGGCUCUAAAACCAGUGCACCACAAAGCUUGAUACGAUUUGGGGUUCCAGCCGGACAUGCGUCAAAGAAGAAGACAGUGGAAGAAAGAUCAAGAAAGAAGGAUCGCGAGAACCUUAGGCCGAGAACCAGAACGUGAGCCUAUAGAAUUCCCUCCUUUGUCAAUAACAUUUACGUCUGUGGGAAUGAUAUACCCAAGGCAGGAUAAUGCACAAGGCAUAAUGUUAAUGAUCGAAAAGGGUUUUCAGAACAUCAGUAUAAAUGUCAUUGACAAAGGAGCUGACACAAGUAAAGAGAUCUCAAGGAUACGCCUUUGUCCCCCGGGUUUCAUGUUGAACAAUUGGACUGCUGAGGACCUUCUUGUAGUUUAAAAGUCUUCAGAGUAAUGCUCAAAUAUUAAUAUUCUAUUGUGUCCUUAGACAUAAUAGAAUUCUUUUGUAAGAGCUUGUAUUCACUCUUUAUCAUUCAAAUGAAUAUCAAUGAAGAUGCAUUUUGUCACGAUCUUUUGUAUUAUCACUAAUUUCAUAAUCAUUUUCUCAUUUCAUAGCUUAUCCUUACAUUUGCCUCAUGCCAUGCCAUAACAUUUCGUUUGUUGGUUCCAAUACUGGGAUGCCCCUUUAUAGUUUCCUUUUUCAUUCAACUUUCAGGUGCUCAGAUGUCAACAGCAUGAACAAACCCGUUACGAGUCCUGAAAUCAAUUUUGAGAAGGCUAUUUGUUUAGGAGAAUUCGAAGCCGAAGAAAAUGCUGAAGACUAUGUCUCGUCUCCUGACUUGCUAAGAAUGGUGGAACAAGAGGAUAAACAGAUUUUGCCUCAUAAAGAAUCUGUUGAAAUAAUAAACUUGGGAACUGAAGAAAGGAAGCAAAAAGUGAAGAUUAGGACCUCUAUUUCAGAGGGCACUAGGCAUAAUUUAAUUGCUUUGCUCCGCGAGUACAGAGAUGUAUUCGUAUGGUCAUAUCAGGACAUGCCAGGAUUGGAUGAAGAUGUAGUGGUCCAUAAACUCCCAUUAAAACCAGAAUGCAAACCCAUUCAGCAAAAGCUAAGAAGGAUGAGACUUGAGAUGCUAUUGAAGAUCAAAAAAGAGGUCAAAAAGUAAUUCGAUACGGGUUUCUUACAAGCUUCCAAAUAUCCAGAAUGGGUGGCUAACAUAGUCCCGAUACCAAAGAAAGACGGUAAAGUACGAAUGUGCGUGGAUUAUCGUGACCUGAAUCAAGUAAAUCCUAAAGAUAAUUUUCCCUUACCACACAUUGAUAUGUUGGUGGAUAACACAGCAAAGCAUUUAUUGUUUUCUUUCAUGGAUGGAUUCUCGGGGUAUAAUCAGAUCAAGAUGGCCCUUGAGGAUAUGGAGAAAAUUACCUUCGUAACAAUGAGGGAACAUUCUGCUACAAGGUGAUGCCAUUUGGGUUAAAGAAUGCUGGGGCAACAUAUCAGAGGGCUAUGGUGACGUUAUUUCAUGACAUGAUGCAUAAGGAAAUAGAGGUCUACGUAGACGAUAUGAUCGCUAAAUCCCGAGGAGAAGAAGAGCAUGUAGUGAACCUGAAGAAGUUGUUCGACAGACUGAGAAAGUUCCAACUGAAGCUCAAUCCGGCCAAAUGUACAUUUGGGGCUACCUCGGGAAAAUUGCUAGGCUUCAUUGUCAGUGAAAGAGGUAUCGAGGUUGAUCCAGAUAAAAUAAAAGCCAUUCAAGAGUUGCCACCUCCGCACACACAAAAGGAAGUCAGAGGAUUUUUAGGGAGGUUAAACUACAUCGCCCGAUUCAUCGCUCAACUUACCAACCAAUGCGACCCAAUUUUUCGGCUUCUUCGAAAACAUAACCCGGGAGAAUGGAAUAAAGAAUGCCAGGUAGCUUUUGAUAUGAUAAAAUAAUAUUUGUCUAAUCCUCCAGUACUAGUACCGCCAACUCCGGGAAGACCAUUGAUAUUGUAUUUGACUAUGUUUGAAAAUUUAAUAGGUUGUGUACUGGGGCAACACGACGAGUCAGGAAAGAAAGAAAAGGUGAUCUACUAACUCAGCAAAAAGUUUACUGAAUAUGAGGCAAAGUAUCCGUCCAUUGAAAAAUACUGUUGCGCUCUGAUUUGGGUAGCUCGGAGACUCAGGCAAUAUAUGUUGUAUCAUACGACAUGGCUAAUUUCAAAGCUGGACCCAAUAAAAUACAUGAUGGAAUCACCGGUACUUUCAGGAAGAAUGGCACGAUGGCAGAUCCUCCUAUCGGAAUAUGACAUUGCCUAUGUAAGUCAGAAGUCGAUAAAAGGGAGCGCAAUAGCUAAUUUCUUAGCGACUCGAAUGACAGAGGAAUAUGAGCCCUUGAGAUUCGAUUUUCCAAAUGAAGACUUAAUGUGUAUCACAGAAAAGGAAUUCGAGUCAUCAAAAGAGAAGCCAUGGAAGAUGAGUUUUGAUGGUGCGUCGAAUGCUUUGGGGAAUGAAAUUGGAGUAAUCUUAGUCUCACCAGACGGGAAUCAUUAUCCGUUCACUGCCAGGCUGAAUUUCUUUUGUACCAAUAACAUAGCAGAAUAUGAGGCCUGUAUCAUGGGACUUUGUGCAGCUAUUGAAUGAAACGUCAAAACUUUAGAGGUUUAUGGAGACUCAACAUUGGUGAUUUACCAAAUCUGUGGAGAUUAAGAAAUGAGGGAUUCGAAAUUGGUUAAAUACAGUGAUCUAGUGGCAGAGCUGAUUAAAGAAUUCGAAGAAAUAACUUUUAAUUACUUCCCACGAGAAGAAAACCAAUUGGUUGAUGCCCUGGCCACUUUGGCUUCAAUGUUCAAAGCAAACAGAGAAACAUAAAUAAUGCCUCUUCAAAUGAGCAUAUAUGAAGUCCCUGCACAUUGUUUCAGCAUUGAAAAAGAGCCAGAUGGACGACCAUGGUUCCAUGAUGUCUUAGAAUAUAUCAAGAAUCAAAGGUAUCCCGAACAAGCAAAUGAGAACGACAAAAGAACAAUUAGAAGAAUGGCAGCUGGAUUCGUUCUUGACGGGGACAUCCUAUACAAAAGAGGAAAAGAUCAAGUGCUAUUGAAAUGCGUGGGUGAUGCUGAAGCUAGAAAAAUACUUGAAGAUGUCCAUGAAGGAACUUGUGGAACGCAUGCCAAUGGUUUCACUAUGACUAGGAAAAUUAUGAGACUCGGUUAUUACUGGCUGACGAUGGAAAGUGACUACAUUAGUUAUGCAAGAAAAUGCCACAAAUGUCAAAUUUAUGGUGAUAAGAUUCAUGUAGCCCCUUCACCCCUGUAUGUCAUGACUUCUCCGUGGCCUUUUUCUAUGUGGGGCAUGGAUGUUAUAGGGCCAAUUACCCCAAAAGCUUCUAAUGUACAUCGAUUUAUUUUUGUGGUUAUUGAUUACUUCACAAAAUGGAUAGCAGCCGCAUCAUUUGCCAAUGUGACGAAGACUGCAGUUUACAGGUUUUUGAAAAAAGAAAUCAUUUGUCGAUAUGGUUUGCCUGAAAGAAUCAUUUCAGAUAACGCUUUGAAUCUGAACAACAAGAUGAUGAAGGAAGUGUGUGAGCAAUUUCAAAUAAAGCAUCAUAACUCAUCGUCCUAUCGCCCGAAAAUGAACGGAGCUGUUGAAGCGACCAACAAGAAUAUUAAGAAAAUUAUUGGGAAAAUGAUCGAGACAUAUAAAGACUGACACGAGAAGCUACCAUUUGCUUUGUAUGCAUAUCGCACAUCUGUACGGACAUCUACGGGAGCAACUCAUUUCUCCCUGGUCUAUAGAAUAGAGGCUGUGCUACCCAUCGAAGUUGAAAUCCCCUCUUUACGAGUCUUAAUAGAGUCGAAACUAAAGGAAGCAGAAUAGGUUCGAGCUCGAUAUGACCAGUUAAACUUCAUCGAAGAAAAACGUUUAAAGGCAAUUUGUCACGGACAGAUGUACCAGAAGAGAAUGAUCGCGGCCCAUGAAAAGAAAAUACGGCCAAGAGAAUUCCACGAAGGAGAACUCGUACUGAGAAAGAUUCUUCUAAUACAGAAGGACUUACGAGGAAAAUGGGCACCAAAUUGGGAAGGACCAUACGUCAUAAAGAAGGCAUUCUCGGGCAGAGCUUUGAUUCUCACUAAGAUGGAGUUACCGAAUCCAGUGAAUUCAGAUACUGUGAAGAAAUAUUAUGCCUGAAAAAAAAUAAAAAAAUUCAAAAAAAAAGGAUCAAGGUGAAAACCCGAAAAGGGCGUCUUGAUUAACACAAAGGAUUAGAAUGAAAACUCGAAAGGGCAUUCUAAUGAAGCAAACCCGGGUUUAAAAACCAACGCGGUUGAACGGUGGGUCAAAUAGUGAGACUACAGCAUUUGAAGCAUUUUUCAGUAGCUCAAAAUCUUCUACGCAAGAAGCCAUGCUUGAAAAGAUUCUUGAUAAGAAACGUGGAAGAGUUCAUGUGUUGAAUAUCUAGAGCAUUUGUAUCCGUUGAAUGCGAUCUAUUUUCUCUUUAUGACACUUUUUCACUAUCAUUGGUUAAUUUUCUUUGUUUGCUACAUUUGAAAUAAAUAAAUGUGAGGUAUCCCUUUAUUCCUACCUGACCAUUUUCAUGUAUCUCAUUAUGUGGUUUAUUUAAAUGAUAAAUGUGAAAUGACAUACUCUAGACAAAAGAAAUGUUGAGCAUUACCCGGAUAAGAAUUUGAUAAGUACAAGAGUCUCAAGGUAAGGAAAAAGUUCGACCAGGGGCAUCUGAGAAAUGUUGAUUACCUGUAAAAACUUGAGGAUGGGUACAGGGCCUAAAUAGAAAGUCAAGAGUCGAAGAAAUGAAUGUAGAUCAUCACAAAAAAAAAUCGUGAUGAAAAAGGACAUAAGACAAACAUGCCAAAGGCGCAUAGCAUAAUCAUGUAGGCAUAAAGGCAUUUAAGACAAACAUAUGCAUAUCAUGAUAACGUUAUGCAUGACAUCUACAGGUACUCUAGUAGAGCGAGAGGACGUAAUGAUAGCUGUACUGAAUUAAAAAGACACCUGAGUUCCACCAGAUAACAUGUUUUGGUAUUCUGAUGUUUUUAUUUCUGUUUCAAAAAAAUCAACUCAUAUUGCGAGAGGUGAGUUGAGCCUCAGGACACGCUGAGGUAAUUUCAAUUUCUGUUUUUCAAAAAUCAACUCAUAUUGCGAGAUGUGAGUUGAGCCUCGGGUCACACGCCGAGAUAUUUUCAAUUUCUAUUUUUCAAAAAAAAUCAACUCAUAUUGCGAGAGGUGAGUUGAGCCUCAAGACACGUUGAGGUAUUUUCAAUUUUUGUUCAAUUUAUGUCUUUCAAAAAAAUCAACUCAUAUUGCGAGAAAUGAGUUGAGCCUCAAGACACGUUGAGGUAUUUAAAAUUUCUGCCUUUCAAAAAAAAAUCAACUCAUAUUGCGAGAAAUAAGUUGAGCCUCAAGACACAUUGAGAUAUUUUCAAUUUCUAUCUUUCAAAAAAAUCAACUCAUAUUGCGAGAAAUGAGUUGAGCCUCAAGACACGUUGAGGUAUUUUCAAUUUCUGCCUUUCAAAAAAAAAAUCAACUCAUAUUGCGAGAAAUGAGUUGAGCCUCAAGACACGUUGAGGUAUUUUCAAUUUCUGUCUUUCAAAAAAAUCAACUCAUAUUGCGAGAGGUGAGUUGAGCCUCAAGACACGUUGAGGUAUUUUCAAUUUCUGUCUUUCAAAAAAAUUAACUCAUAUUGCGAGAGGUGAGUUGAGCCUCAAGACACGUUGAGGUAUUUUCAAUUUUUGUCUUUCAAAAAAAUCAACUCAUAUUGCGAGAAAUGAGUUGAGCCUCAAGACACGUUGAGGUAUUUUCAAUUUCUGUCUUUCAAAAAAAUCAACUCAUAUUGCGAGAGGUGAGUUGAGCCUCGGUUCACAUGCUGAGGUAUUUUUAAUUUCUACUUUUCAAAAAAAACAAUCAACUCAUAUUGCGAGAGGUGAGUUGAACCUCAAAUCACGCCCUGAGGUAUUUUCAAUUUCUGUUUUUCAAAAAAAAAAAUCAACUCAUAUUGCGAGAGGUGAGUUAAACCUUAGGUCACACGCUGAGAUAUUUUCAAUUUUUUUUUUGCUUUUUCAAAGAUCAACUCAUAAUUCAAGAGGUGAGUUGAACUUCGGGUCACAUCCCGAGCUAUUUUCAAUUUCUUGUUUUUCAAUAAAGAAUAAAGAUUGGACAUUUGAACAAAAUUUAGUGCUUUUAAGUCUUUGCACUAUCCUUAUUUCACAAUGAUGAGCAAAGAGGGGCAGCUGUAAGCACUAAAUUUUUGUCCGACUAGAAUUCGUGUUUAAGUUCCAAAAUUUCAAAAAAAUAAAAUAAAAAAUAAAAAAAUUUCAAAAAAAAAUUACAUCUUAGACCCCUAAACUUUCCUUAAAUUACAUUUUAACCCUAAAUUUUCUAAAAAUUACAUUUAGCACCAGAAGUUUUGCUGCAUUUGUGAUUUGGUCCUUCAGACAGAUUACGUGAUUUGGGACACCCACUUCCCAGAUUUUCAGGCCAAAAACAUGGGUGGUUGUUCCUUCUUCACCCACUACCUGCAAAUGGCAUAAAAAACAAGCAAAAUGGUAGAAAUGAAAAAGGAACACACACA
RNAcentral lists this long non-coding RNA (15065 nucleotides) under Gossypium barbadense (sea-island cotton). RNAcentral describes it as "long non-coding RNA (GBAR_LNC010173)". The record is from RNAcentral. Lineage: Eukaryota; Viridiplantae; Streptophyta; Magnoliopsida; Malvales; Malvaceae.